This 637-nucleotide ribosomal RNA is filed under the name uncultured bacterium. Its description in RNAcentral is "bacterial SSU rRNA". It matches the Rfam family "Bacterial small subunit ribosomal RNA", at positions 232 to 879 of the family's 1533-position model. The record is from RNAcentral.
CGCGGCCUAUCAGCUUGUUGGUGAGGUAACGGCUCACCAAGGCGACGACGGGUAGCCGGCCUGAGAGGGUGACCGGCCACACUGGGACUGAGAUACGGCCCAGACUCCUACGGGAGGCAGCAGUGGGGAAUAUUGCACAAUGGGCGCAAGCCUGAUGCAGCGACGCCGCGUGAGGGAUGACGGCCUUCGGGUUGUAAACCUCUUUCAGCAGGGACGAAGCGAAAGUGACGGUACCUGUAGAAGAAGGACCGGCCAACUACGUGUCAGCAGCCGCGGUAAUACGUAGGGUCCGAGCGUUGUCCGGAAUUACUGGGCGUAAAGAGCUCGUAGGUGGUUUGUCGCGUUGUUCGUGAAAACUCACAGCUUAACUGUGGGCGUGCGGGCGAUACGGGCAGACUUGAGUACUGCAGGGGAGACUGGAAUUCCUGGUGUAGCGGUGGAAUGCGCAGAUAUCAGGAGGAACACCGGUGGCGAAGGCGGGUCUCUGGGCAGUAACUGACGCUGAGGAGCGAAAGCGUGGGGAGCGAACAGGAUUAGAUACCCUGGUAGUCCACGCCGUAAACGGUGGGUACUAGGUGUGGGUUUCCUUCCUUGGGAUCCGUGCCGUAGCUAACGCAUUAAGUACCCCGCCUGGGGA